CCAAGCUUCAUACAGUCCUCUGACUAUUAUUCACUGCUAAAGUUUUGUGUAGGUACUAGAGAUACAGCCAGGAGCAGUAUGAGGCUCAUCAAGAAGAAUUACAGAGUUAUAGGAGUGGUAAAGGACUAUGGAGCAGAGGUUAAAGGGGUCCCAGAUCCCUGUGAACAGCAGCAUCAAUCAUAUGCAACACUGCACUUCUGAACUAUGUAUCAGGACCAGAUUUGUGUAAAACAUCUUCAUUCCACAGCCCGUGAUUGUGCAAGUAUGUACUGACAUCUGGUGGACGUUUGACCAAACAUUUCAGUAAAACACUGCGACUACAUAAUGCUCAUUCAAAGAAAGCACUUAGAGUGGGUUUCAUUGCAUUAGUUCUGAGUCAUCUUUCCAACAAAACCUAUGGGAGAAAACAAAGCCCCAGUAAAGAUUUCAAUGUCAAGAUUUCUGUUUCUACCACGCUAUUUGGGAAGAAAAUCUUUCCAAAGAAAGUCUAGUUAUUUUCUGGUUUUAUUUGUAAACAAAAACACCUUUUAAAGUAUAUACAACAGCACGAUCAGAGCAUUUAGACACAUAUGACUAAAUUCACAUAUGUCCAUAAGGCAGUAUGUGACAGAGUUUAGCCCAUCUCUACUUCAGAAACCCCCACAUUAUAGCACUUGCCUGCUGCUAGUCUGUGAGGCUGUGCUGAAUGAGCACCAAUCUCU
This is a long non-coding RNA of Zonotrichia leucophrys gambelii, 701 nucleotides long. RefSeq lists it as uncharacterized. NCBI's taxonomy places the organism in Eukaryota, Metazoa, Chordata, Aves, Passeriformes, Passerellidae. The record is from RefSeq and is a predicted model, not a curated record. The transcript is spliced from 3 exons.